This 253-nucleotide ribosomal RNA is filed under the name uncultured bacterium. RNAcentral describes it as "partial 16S ribosomal RNA". It matches the Rfam family "Bacterial small subunit ribosomal RNA", at positions 524 to 776 of the family's 1533-position model. The record is from RNAcentral.
UACGGAGGGGGCUAGCGUUGUUCGGAAUUACUGGGCGUAAAGCGCGCGUAGGCGGACCUGCAAGUCGGGGGUGAAAGCCCGAGGCUCAACCUCGGAACUGCCUUCGAUACUGCGGGUCUCGAGUCCGGGAGAGGUGAGUGGAAUUCCUAGUGUAGAGGUGAAAUUCGUAGAUAUUAGGAAGAACACCAGUGGCGAAGGCGGCUAACUGGUCCAGAUCUGACGCUGAGGUGCGAAAGCGUGGGGAGCAAACAGG